This 305-nucleotide ribosomal RNA is filed under the name uncultured bacterium. RNAcentral describes it as "bacterial SSU rRNA". It matches the Rfam family "Bacterial small subunit ribosomal RNA", at positions 335 to 657 of the family's 1533-position model. The record is from RNAcentral.
GUUCCUACGGGAGGCAGCAGUGGGGGAUAUUGCACAAUGGGGGGAACCCUGAUGCAGCGACGCCGCGUGAGCGAUGAAGUAUUUCGGUAUGUAAAGCUCUAUCAGCAGGGAAGAAAAUGACGGUACCUGACUAAGAAGCCCCGGCUAACUACGUGCCAGCAGCCGCGGUAAUACGUAGGGGGCAAGCGUUAUCCGGAUUUACUGGGUGUAAAGGGAGCGUAGACGGCAGCGCAAGUCUGGAGUGAAAUGCCGGGGCCCAACCCCGGAACUGCUUUGGAAACUGUGCAGCUGGAGUGCAGGAGAGG